This is a ribosomal RNA of Cricetulus griseus (Chinese hamster), 151 nucleotides long. It matches the Rfam family "5.8S ribosomal RNA". From Rfam's summary of the family: 5.8S ribosomal RNA (5.8S rRNA) is a component of the large subunit of the eukaryotic ribosome. It is transcribed by RNA polymerase I as part of the 45S precursor that also contains 18S and 28S rRNA. The record is from Ensembl. Lineage: Eukaryota; Metazoa; Chordata; Mammalia; Rodentia; Cricetidae.
CACCCUUAGAGGUGGAUCACUCGGCUCCUGCAUUGGUGAAGAAUGCAGCUAGCUGAGAGAAUAAAUGUGAAUUGCAGGACAUUGAUCCUCCACACUUGGAACUAACUUGCUGCCCAGAGUUCCUCCAUGGGCUAUGCCUGUCUGAGCAUAG